GUGGGGAAUUUUGGACAAUGGGCGCAAGCCUGAUCCAGCAAUGCCGCGUGUGUGAAGAAGGCCUUCGGGUUGUAAAGCACUUUUGGCAGGAAAGAAAUAGUGCGUGCUAAUACCAUGCGCGAAUGACGGUCCCUGCAGAAUAAGCACCGGCUAACUACGUGCCAGCAGCCGCGGUAAGACGUAGGGUGCAAGCGUUAAUCGGAAUUACUGGGCUUAAAGCGUGCGCAGGCGGUUUUGUAAGACAGGUCUGAAAUCCCCGGGCUCAACCUGGGAACUGCACUGGUGACUGCAAGGCUAGAGUGUGUCAGAGGGAGGUGGAAUUCCGCGUGUAGCAGUGGAAUGCGUAGAGAUGCGGAGGAACACCGAUGGCGAAGGCAGCCUCCUGGGAUGACACUGACGCUCAUGCACGAAAGCGUGGGGAGCAAACAGGAUUAGAAACCCUUGUAGUCC
RNAcentral lists this ribosomal RNA (450 nucleotides) under uncultured bacterium. RNAcentral's name for it is "bacterial SSU rRNA". It matches the Rfam family "Bacterial small subunit ribosomal RNA", at positions 354 to 796 of the family's 1533-position model. The record is from RNAcentral.